This 239-nucleotide non-coding RNA is filed under the name Nosema bombycis CQ1. RNAcentral describes it as "Eukaryotic large subunit ribosomal RNA". It matches the Rfam family "Eukaryotic large subunit ribosomal RNA", at positions 1 to 285 of the family's 3401-position model. Lineage: Eukaryota; Fungi; Microsporidia; Nosematidae. The record is from Rfam by way of RNAcentral.
AAUUCUAAUUCAUUUUAGGAUAACCCUUUGAACUUAAGCAUAUCAGUAAAAGGAGGAAAAGAAACUAACAAGGAUUUCUUUAGUAGUGGCGAAUGAACAAGAAAGAACUCAUUAUGUAAUCUAUAUUCAUUAUAGAGAUGUUAAAAGUUAUUGUUGUCAUUCAAAUCAUAGAUACAUUAAAUUGUAGUAAAUGAUGACGAUAAAUAAACAAUGUAGAGUACGAUUGCUUGGUAGUGCAA